Molecule: ribosomal RNA, 826 nt
Filed under: uncultured archaeon
Lineage: Archaea
Description: bacterial SSU rRNA
Rfam family: Archaeal small subunit ribosomal RNA
Source: RNAcentral
GCAAGUCAUAUGUUCCUCGUGAACAUGGCAUACUGCUCAGUAACACGUGGAUAACCUGCCCUUGGGUCUGGGAUAACCCCGGGAAACUGGGGAUAAUAUCGGAUAACGCAUAUGUGCUGGAAUGCUUUAUGCGUAAAACGGAUUCGUCCGCCCAAGGAUGGGUCUGCGGCCUAUCAGGUAGUAGUGGGUGUAAUGUACCUACUAGCCAACAACGGGUACGGGUUGUGAGAGCAAGAGCCCGGAGAUGGAUUCUGAGACAUGAAUCCAGGCCCUACGGGGCGCAGCAGGCGCGAAAACUUUACAAUGCGGGAAACCGUGAUAAGGGAACACCUAGUGCCAGCAUCAUAUGCUGGCUGUCCAGAUGUGUAAACUACAUCUGUUAGCAAGGGCCGGGCAAGACCGGUGCCAGCCGCCGCGGUAACACCGGCGGCCCGAGUGGUGACCGUUAUUAUUGGGUCUAAAGGGUCCGUAGCCGGUUUGGUCAGUCCUCCGGGAAAUCUGAUAGCUUAACUGUUAGGCUUUCGGGGGAUACUGCCAGGCUUGGAACCGGGAGAGGUAAGAGGUACUACAGGGGUAGGAGUGAAAUCUUGUAAUCCCUGUGAGACCACCUGUGGCGAAGGCGUCUUACCAGAACGGGUUCGACGGUGAGGGACGAAAGCUGGGGGCACGAACCGGAUUAGAUACCCGGGUAGUCCCAGCCGUAAACUAUGCUCGCUAGGUGUCAGGCAUGGCGCGACCGUGUCUGGUGCCGCAGGGAAGCCGUGAAGCGAGCCACCUGGGAAGUACGGCCGCAAGGCUGAAACUUAAAGGAAUUGGCGGGGGAGCA